This 419-nucleotide ribosomal RNA is filed under the name bacterium. RNAcentral describes it as "partial 16S ribosomal RNA". It matches the Rfam family "Bacterial small subunit ribosomal RNA", at positions 355 to 776 of the family's 1533-position model. The record is from RNAcentral.
UGGGGGAUAUUGCACAAUGGGCGAAAGCCUGAUGCAGCGACGCCGCGUGGGGGAUGAAGGCUUUCGGGUUGUAAACCUCUUUCGCUAUCGAACAAGGCCCGCUUAGGGUGGGUUGAGGGUAGGUGGAGAAGAAGCGCCGGCUAACUACGUGCCAGCAGCCGCGGUAAUACGUAGGGCGCGAGCGUUGUCCGGAAUUAUUGGGCGUAAAGGGCUUGUAGGCGGCUUGUUGCGCCUGCUGUGAAAACGCGGGGCUUAACUUCGCGCGUGCAGUGGGUACGGGCAGGCUUGAGUGUGGUGGGGUGACUGGAAUUCCAGGUGUAGCGGUGGAAUGCGCAGAUAUCUGGAGGAACACCGAUGGCGAAGGCAGGUCACUGGGCCAUUACUGACGCUGAGGAGCGAAAGCAUGGGUAGCGAACAGG